RNAcentral lists this ribosomal RNA (116 nucleotides) under Aspergillus tubingensis. The record is from RNAcentral. Lineage: Eukaryota; Fungi; Ascomycota; Eurotiomycetes; Eurotiales; Aspergillaceae.
ACGACCAUAGGGUGUGGAAAAUAGGGCUUCCCGUCCGCUCAGCCGUACUUAAGCCACACGCCGGGAGGUUAGUAGUUGGGUGGGUGACCACCAGCGAAUCCCUUCUGUUGUAUGUU